RNAcentral lists this non-coding RNA (179 nucleotides) under Luteimonas sp. FCS-9. RNAcentral's name for it is "Bacterial small subunit ribosomal RNA". It matches the Rfam family "Bacterial small subunit ribosomal RNA", at positions 1 to 173 of the family's 1533-position model. Lineage: Bacteria; Pseudomonadati; Pseudomonadota; Gammaproteobacteria; Lysobacterales; Lysobacteraceae. The record is from Rfam by way of RNAcentral.
UAAGUGAAGAGUUUGAUCCUGGCUCAGAGUGAACGCUGGCGGCAGGCCUAACACAUGCAAGUCGAACGGCAGCACAGAGGAGCUUGCUCCUUGGGUGGCGAGUGGCGGACGGGUGAGGAAUACAUCGGAAUCUGCCUAUUUGUGGGGGAUAACGUAGGGAAACUUACGCUAAUACCGCA